CAGCAGCCGCGGUAAAACGAAGGGGGCUAGCGUUGUUCGGAUUUACUGGGCGUAAAGCGCACGUAGGCGGACUUUUAAGUCAGGGGUGAAAUCCCGGGGCUCAACCCCGGAACUGCCUUUGAUACUGGAAGUCUUGAGUAUGGUAGAGGUGAGUGGAAUUCCGAGUGUAGAGGUGAAAUUCGUAGAUAUUCGGAGGAACACCGGUGGCGAAGGCGGCUCACUGGACCAUUACUGACGCUGUGGUGCGAAAGCGUGGGGAGCAAACAGGAUUAGAUACCCCGGUAGUCCCUGUCUCUUAUAU
RNAcentral lists this ribosomal RNA (301 nucleotides) under uncultured bacterium. RNAcentral describes it as "partial 16S ribosomal RNA". It matches the Rfam family "Bacterial small subunit ribosomal RNA", at positions 509 to 809 of the family's 1533-position model. The record is from RNAcentral.